AGACGAUGGGGGCAUACUUGGCUGACUGCCAUUAUACUAUCCUCAUAGUAUGAACAGUUUUUCAAAAAUUGUCA
This 74-nucleotide transfer RNA is filed under the name Dirca palustris (leatherwood). RNAcentral describes it as "tRNA-Glu". Lineage: Eukaryota; Viridiplantae; Streptophyta; Magnoliopsida; Malvales; Thymelaeaceae. RNAcentral also lists the same sequence under 2 other names. The record is from RNAcentral.